This 527-nucleotide ribosomal RNA is filed under the name uncultured Staphylococcus sp. RNAcentral describes it as "partial 16S ribosomal RNA". The record is from RNAcentral. Lineage: Bacteria; Bacillati; Bacillota; Bacilli; Caryophanales; Staphylococcaceae.
CACGUAGUUAGCGUGGCUUUCUGAUUAGGUACCGUCAAGAUGUGCACAGUUACUUACACAUUUGUUCUUCCCUAAUAACAGAGUUUUACGAGCCGAAACCCUUCAUCACUCACGCGGCGUUGCUCCGUCAGGCUUUCGCCCAUUGCGGAAGAUUCCCUACUGCUGCCUCCCGGUAGGAGUCUGGACCGUGUCUCAGUUCCAGUGUGGCCGAUCACCCUCUCAGGUCGGCUACGUAUCGUCGCCUUGGUAAGCCGUUACCUUACCAACUAGCUAAUACGGCGCGGGUCCAUCUAUAAGUGAUAGCAAACCAUCUUUCACUUUAGAACCAUGCGGUUCUAAACUGUUAUCCGGUAUUAGCUCCGGUUUCCCGAACGUUAUCCACGUCUUAUAGGUACGGUUACCCUACGUGUUACUCACCCGUCCGCCGCUAACUCAAGAGCAGCUCCUUAUCUGUCGCUCGACUUGCAUGUAUUACGGCACCGCCGCCCAGCCGUCACUCCUGACGCCGACGGAUCAACUACUCUACG